Molecule: non-coding RNA, 197 nt
Filed under: Rhodobacter capsulatus
Lineage: Bacteria; Pseudomonadati; Pseudomonadota; Alphaproteobacteria; Rhodobacterales
Also listed under: 1 other name
Source: RNAcentral
UCAGUCUGAAGGCCUCAGGGUGCCCGUCCGCAAGGCCGGGAGAAUUGGGAAGCCGGUGCAAGACCGGCGCUGCCCCCGCAACGGUCAGCAAUGAGGGACGGCAAGGCCACUGGACCCCGGGGUUCGGGAAGGCGCUGCGCCCGGGUGCGAAAGCACGCAUUGCAAGCCCGGAAACCAGCCCUGUGACCGCCGGGCCC